Molecule: non-coding RNA, 148 nt
Filed under: Gorilla gorilla gorilla (western lowland gorilla)
Lineage: Eukaryota; Metazoa; Chordata; Mammalia; Primates; Hominidae
Source: Rfam by way of RNAcentral
GCGGGGCGUGGUGGUGCAAGCCUGUAAUCCCAGCUACUUGGGAGGCAGAGGCAGGAGAAUCGCUUGAACCCAGGAGGUGGAGGUUGCAGUGAGCCAAGAUCGUGCCACUGCACUCCAGCCUGGGUGACAGAGCGAGACUCUGUCUCAA